CUAUCGCUUUUGGAUGGACCCGCGGCGUAUUAACUAGUUGGUAGGGUAACGGCCUACCAAGGUGAUGAUACGUAGCCGAGUUGAGAGACUGAUCAGCCACAAUGGGACUGAGACACGGCCCAUACUCCUACGGGAGGCAGCAGUAGGGAAUCUUCCACAAUGGGCGCAAGCCUGAUGGAGCAACGCCGCGUGAAUGAAGAAGGUCUUCGGAUCGUAAAAUUCUGUUGUUAGAGAAGAAUAUGAGUAAUAGUAACUGAUUAUUCACUGACGGUAUCUAACCAGCAAGUCACGGCUAACUACGUGCCAGCAGCCGCGGUAAUACGUAGGUGGCAAGCGUUGUCCGGAUUUAUUGGGCGUAAAGGGAACGCAGGCGGUUUUUUAAGUCUGAUGUGAAAGCCUUCGGCUUAACCGGAGAUGUGCAUUGGAAACUGGAAGACUUGAGUGCAGAAGAGGAGAGUGGAACUCCAUGUGUAGCGGUGAAAUGCGUAGAUAUAUGGAAGAACACCAGUGGCGAAAGCGGCUCUCUGGUCUGUAACUGACGCUGAGGUUCGAAAGCAUGGGUAGCGAACAGGAUUAGAUACCCUGGUAGUCCAUGCCGUAAACGAUGAAUGCUAGGUGUUGGAGGGUUUCCGCCCUUCAGUGCCGCAGCUAACGCA
RNAcentral lists this ribosomal RNA (656 nucleotides) under uncultured bacterium. Its description in RNAcentral is "bacterial SSU rRNA". It matches the Rfam family "Bacterial small subunit ribosomal RNA", at positions 212 to 859 of the family's 1533-position model. The record is from RNAcentral.